CCAGAGAAUUUAGCAGAGAUGCUUUAGUGCCUUCGGGAACUCUGAGACAGGUGCUGCAUGGCUGUCGUCAGCUCGUGUUGUGAAAUGUUGGGUUAAGUCCCGCAACGAGCGCAACCCUUAUCCUUUGUUGCCAGCACGUAAUGGUGGGAACUCAAAGGAGACUGCCGGUGAUAAACCGGAGGAAGGUGGGGAUGACGUCAAGUCAUCAUGGCCCUUACGAGUAGGGCUACACACGUGCUACAAUGGCGCAUACAAAGAGAAGCGACCUCGCGAGAGCAAGCGGACCUCAUAAAGUGCGUCGUAGUCCGGAUUGGAGUCUGCAACUCGACUCCAUGAAGUCGGAAUCGCUAGUAAUCGUAAAUCAGAAUGUUACGGUGAAUACGUUCCCGGGCCUUGUACACACCGCCCGUCACACCAUGGGAGUGGGUUGCAGAAGAAGUAGAUAGCUUAACCUUCGGGAGGGCGUUUACCACUUUGUGAUUCAUGACUGGGGUGAAGUCGUAACAAGGUAAGCGUAGUGCU
RNAcentral lists this ribosomal RNA (522 nucleotides) under uncultured bacterium. RNAcentral's name for it is "bacterial SSU rRNA". It matches the Rfam family "Bacterial small subunit ribosomal RNA", at positions 988 to 1509 of the family's 1533-position model. The record is from RNAcentral.